GACGAACGCUGGCGGCGCGCCUAACACAUGCAAGUCGAACGAGCGAGAGAGAGCUUGCUUUCUCAAGCGAGUGGCGAACGGGUGAGUAACGCGUGAGGAACCUGCCUCAAAGAGGGGGACAACAGUUGGAAACGACUGCUAAUACCGCAUAAGCCCACGGCUCGGCAUCGAGCAGAGGGAAAAGGAGCAAUCCGCUUUGAGAUGGCCUCGCGUCCGAUUAGCUGGUUGGUGAGGUAAUGGCCCACCAAGGCGACGAUCGGUAGCCGGACUGAGAGGUUGAACGGCCACAUUGGGACUGAGACACGGCCCAGACUCCUACGGGAGGCAGCAGUGGGGAAUAUUGCACAAUGGGGGAAACCCUGAUGCAGCGACGCCGCGUGGAGGAAGAAGGUCUUCGGAUUGUAAACUCCUGUUGUUGAGGAAGAUAAUGACGGUACUCAACAAGGAAGUGACGGCUAACUACGUGCCAGCAGCCGCGGUAAAACGUAGGUCACAAGCGUUGUCCGGAAUUACUGGGUGUAAAGGGAGCGCAGGCGGGAAGACAAGUUGGAAGUGAAAUCCAUGGGCUCAACCCAUGAACUGCUUUCAAAACUGUUUUUCUUGAGUAGUGCAGAGGUAGGCGGAAUUCCCGGUGUAGCGGUGGAAUGCGUAGAUAUCGGGAGGAACACCAGUGGCGAAGGCGGCCUACUGGGCACCAACUGACGCUGAGGCUCGAAAGUGUGGGUAGCAAACAGGAUUACAUACCCUGGUAGUCCACACUGUAAACGAUGAUUACUAGGUGUUGGAGGAUUGACCCCCUCAGUGCCGCAGCUAACACAAUAAGUAAUCCACCUGGGGAGUGCGACCGCAAGGUUGAAACUCAAAGGAAUUGACGGGGGCCCGCACAAGCAGUAGAGUAUGUGGUUUAAUUCGACGCAACGCGAAGAACCUUACCAAGUCUUGACAUCCUGCGACGGUGCUGGAAACAGUACUUUCCUUCGGGACGCAGAGACAGGUGGUGCAUGGUUGUCGUCAGCUCGUGUCGUGAGAUGUUGGGUUAAGUCCCGCAACGAGCGCAACCCUUAUGGUCAGUUACUACGCAAGAGGACUCUGGCCAGACUGCCGUUGACAAAACGGAGGAAGGUGGGGAUGACGUCAAAUCAUCAUGCCCUUUAUGACUUGGGCUACACACGUACUACAAUGGCGUUAAACAAAGAGAAGCAAGACCGCGAGGCGGAGCAAAACUCAGAAACAACGUCCCAGUUCGGACUGCAGGCUGCAACUCGCCUGCACGAAGUCGGAAUUGCUAGUAAUCGCAGAUCAGCAUGCUGCGGUGAAUA
This 1319-nucleotide ribosomal RNA is filed under the name uncultured bacterium. Its description in RNAcentral is "bacterial SSU rRNA". It matches the Rfam family "Bacterial small subunit ribosomal RNA", at positions 28 to 1368 of the family's 1533-position model. The record is from RNAcentral.